CAGCCGCCACGGGAAUACGGAGGGGGCUAGCGUUGUUCGGAAUUACUGGGCGUAAAGCGCACGUAGGCGGCUUGGUAAGUUAGAGGUGAAAGCCUGGAGCUCAACUCCAGAAUUGCCUUUAAGACUGCCGAGCUAGCAGGUGAGAGAGGUAAGUGGAAUUCCGAGUGUAGAGGUGAAAUUCGUAGAUAUUCGGAAGAACACCAGUGGCGAAGGCGGCUUACUGGCUCAUACUGGACGCUGAGGUGCGAAAGCGUGGGGAGCAAACAGGAUUAGAGACCCCCGUAGUCCCUGUCUCUUAUAC
This 301-nucleotide ribosomal RNA is filed under the name uncultured bacterium. Its description in RNAcentral is "partial 16S ribosomal RNA". It matches the Rfam family "Bacterial small subunit ribosomal RNA", at positions 509 to 807 of the family's 1533-position model. The record is from RNAcentral.